CGACGGGUGAGUAACGCGUGGAUAACCUGCCGUAUACUGGGGGAUAACACUUAGAAAUAGGUGCUAAUACCGCAUAAGCGCACAGUCUCGCAUGAGACGGUGUGAAAAACUCCGGUGGUAUACGAUGGAUCCGCGUCUGAUUAGCUUGUUGGCGGGGUAACAGCCCACCAAGGCGACGAUCAGUAGCCGGCCUGAGAGGGUGAACGGCCACAUUGGGACUGAGACACGGCCCAAACUCCUACGGAAGGCAGCAG
Molecule: ribosomal RNA, 254 nt
Filed under: uncultured bacterium
Lineage: Bacteria
Description: partial 16S ribosomal RNA
Rfam family: Bacterial small subunit ribosomal RNA
Source: RNAcentral